This 2934-nucleotide ribosomal RNA is filed under the name wastewater metagenome. Its description in RNAcentral is "bacterial LSU rRNA". It matches the Rfam family "Bacterial large subunit ribosomal RNA", at positions 777 to 2925 of the family's 2925-position model. The record is from RNAcentral.
AACCCACUAGUCGUGCGACUCUAGGGGAUGACUUGUGUGUAGGGGAGAAAUUCCAAUCGAGUUUGGCAAUAGCUGGUUCUCUCCGAAAUAGCUUGAGGGCUAGCGUCCGGACAAAUAUACCCGAGGGGUAGAGCUACUGGAUGAGGUGUCGCCGUAAGGUAGGCUCUUCAACCAAACUCCAAAUACUCGUGGUACGUACCCGGGCAGUCAGUAUUACGGGGCUAAGCUCGUAGUACAAAAGGGAAACAGCCCAGACCGUCAGCUAAGGUCCCGAAAUCUUUGCUCAGUGGGAAAGGCAGUGAAGGCUCUUAGACACUUAGGAGGUUGGCUUAGAAGCAGCCACCCUUUAAAGAGUGCGUAAUAGCUCACUAAUCUAGAGCCUUUGCGCCGAUAAUGUAACGGGGCUCAAGCAAAGUACCGAAGCUACGGAUUGCAUCGUAAGAUGCAGUGGUAGGAGAGCGUCCCAUACGCGCUGAAGCGGGAGGGUAACCGACCGUGAAGUGUAUGGAAGUGAGAAUGUUGGAAUGAGUAACCGCAAGGCAGGUGAGAUCCCUGCCCGCCGAAAAUCCAAGGUUUCCUGGGCUAUGGUGAUCAUCCCAGGGUGAGUCGGUCCUAAGGCGAGGCUGAAAGGCGUAGUCGAUGGACAAGAGGUUAAUAUUCCUCUACUGCGUAUAUAUUCGAUGGAGUGACGCAUCUCUGUACCUCUUGCCCCUUAUUGGAUUGGGGUUUAGGUCUUGAGGAUGUCAUAUAGGCAAAUCCGUAUGACAAUAAUCCGAGAGAUCCGACGAUUCCGGUAGCGAUACCGGGAAAGAAGAGGGAGCGGGGUGCCAGGAAAAGCUUCUCAGGUUCGUAUAUACGUAACCGUACCGCAAACCGACACAGGUGGAUUGGUCGAGAAGACUAAGGCGAACGGGAGAGUAUUCGUUAAGGAACUAGGCAAAAAAGCUAGGCGUAAGUUUGCAAUAUGCCUUGCCGGUUCUCUUCGGAGAGUCGGCCGCAGCGAAAGUUUUCCAAGCGACUGUUUACCAAAAACACAGCUCUCUGCAAACCCGUAAGGGGAAGUACAGGGGGUGACACCUGACCAGUGCUAGCUCGUUAACGGGAGCGGUUCACGCCAAUCCCCGAAGCGCUAGUGAACGUCGGCGAUAACUAUAAUCGUCCUAAGGUUCCGGAAAUUUCCUCGGAAGUUUUCGGAAGGACUGGGACGGUUAUAGGAAUGUGUGAAGAAAUGUGGAAGAAAAGGAAAAGUAAUUGCUUCUUUCGGAGAAAUCCGGAAGGUCCGAAAAUACUUAGCCAUAUGCUGGAAAAUCUGGAGUAUCUGAUGAUACUAUGGUAAAAUUAUUCCAUAGAAAUAUGGAAGAGUGAUGCCGAGUGAAAAAUCAAUCAGUGUGUCUCGCUUCAAUCGUGAGACGCCAGACAAUCAGCAGGAAAGACUGAAGACCGUUGGCUGGGUCAUCGGGUAUGUGGAUGGGGAAGGAUGUUUUUCAGUGAGUCUGCUCAGGAAUGCCACCACGAAAAGUGGUUGGCAGACAUUUCCGGAGUUUGUGGUGACACAAAGCGGAAAGAGUAAGGCUUCAUUGGAAAUAUUGCGAGAUUUCUUCGGAUGCGGGAAGAUAUUUGUGAAUCGACGGUAUGAUAACCACCGAGAGCACAUCUAUCGAUACUGUGUCCGAUCACAAGAGGAACUUCGCGAAAAGAUCAUUCCUUUCUUUAUGGAAAAUCCGCUCCGAACCGCCAAACGAAAAGAUUUCGAGCAUUUUUCUUUUAUCCUCAAUCAGAUGAGACUCAAACGACAUCUGACGGAGACUGGUAUGCAUAUGAUUGCCAGAAGGAUCGAGAAAAUGAAUCACAAGAAAGCUUCCCGGUUUUUAGAAUCCUCAGAGACCAAAUGCUAAGCGCGUAAUCGAUACGUGAAAAGAGAGUCCGUGCUCAUCGGCGACGAUGAGAAUAACACUACAGAGCGAAAUUCCUUGACAGGUAAGUUCUGUCCCGCAUGAAAGGUGUAACGAUUUGGAAACUGUCUCAACGAACAUCCCGGUGAAAUUGCAAUGACGGUAAAGAUGCCGUCGACCUGCAGCAAGACGAAAAGACCCCAUGGAGCUUUACUAUAACUUGGUAUUGACUUAAAGUUUUUGUUGCCGAGCAUAGGUGGAAGACUUUGAAGCGCCCCUUCCGGGGGGCGUGGAGUCGACAAUUGGAAUACCACCCUGCAGAGAUUUUAAUUCUAACCUGCCGCCGUAAUCCGGCGGGGGGACAGUGCCUGGCGGGUAGUUUGACUGGGGCGGUCGCCUCCUAAAGAGCAACGGAGGCGUUUACUAAGGUUGGCUAGGUCCGGAUGGAAAUCGGGCCGAUAGCGCAAAAGCACAAGCCAGCUUUACUGAGAGACCGAUCAGUUAAUCAGUUACGAAAGUAGAAUUUAGUGAACCGACCAUCACUCGUAGGAGUGUGGAAGAUCAUCAGAUAAAAGUUACCCUGGGGAUAACAGGCUGAUCUUGCCCAAGAGUCCAUAUCGACGGCAAGGUUUGGCACCUCGAUGUCGGCUCAUCGCAUCCUGGGGGUGGAGAAGCUCCCAAGGGUUUGGCUGUUCGCCAAUUAAAGCGGUACGCGAGCUGGGUUCAAACCGUCGUGAGACAGGUUGGUUUCCUAUCUGCUGUGGGCGUGUGUGACUUGAGAGAGCUCUUUCCUAGUACGAGAGGACCGGAAAGAACAAACCUCUGGUGUACGAGCUGUUCCGCCAGGAGCACUGCUCGGUAGCUAUGUUUGGGUAGGAUAACCGCUGAAAGCAUCUAAGCGGGAAGCCAAACUCAAGAUAAGGUCACGGUUCUGAUUUAUCAGAACAAGAUUCCCUGGAAGAUGACCAGGUUGAUAGGCCGCAGGUGGAAGCGUGGUGACACGUUAAGCCAAGCGGUACUAAUGAAAUCUAAUGACUAUUUC